CUCUUCUCAAUGAGCUCCUUUCUGCCGCUGGUGGCAGCUGUUGGAUUCGCACGAGAAGAAGAGCCAGAGUCCCAGGCGAGCCCUGUGAGCUUCCCUUCUGCCAGUGGGGGUUAGUUCCGCUGCCUGUGAGACAUUU
This 136-nucleotide small nucleolar RNA is filed under the name Echinops telfairi (small Madagascar hedgehog). RNAcentral's name for it is "Small nucleolar RNA SNORA75 (ENSETEG00000022650.1)". The record is from RNAcentral. Lineage: Eukaryota; Metazoa; Chordata; Mammalia; Afrosoricida; Tenrecidae.